Molecule: ribosomal RNA, 253 nt
Filed under: uncultured bacterium
Lineage: Bacteria
Description: partial 16S ribosomal RNA
Rfam family: Bacterial small subunit ribosomal RNA
Source: RNAcentral
UACGGGGGGAGCAAGCGUUGUUCGGAUUUCCUGGGCGUAAAGGGCGCGUAGGCGGCGCAACAAGUCACUUGUGAAAUCUCCGGGCUUAACCCGGAGCGGCCAAGUGAUACUGUCGUGCUAGAGUGCGGAAGGGGCUACUGGAAUUCUCGGUGUAGCGGUGAAAUGCGUAGAUAUCGAGAGGAACACCUGCGGCGAAGGCGGGUAGCUGGGCCGACACUGACGCUGAGGCGCGAAGGCCAGGGGAGCAAACGGG